AUUGACGUCAUUUAACCCGAUGCCUGGUGCAAAGUGCUUGAGCAAUAAAUAUAGAAGAAAUAAAGAAAAUAAGGAGGAUGCAUCAUUUCUCAGGCCACUCUUGGAAAUGUCAAUAGUCAGAGCCAGAAUUUUGAAUGGAAGCUUUGGAAGAGAUGAAAAUCUAUUUGGAAUGGACCCUGGUAAGCACUAGAAUGGGGAGGUUGAGGAGACCCCACCAUGUGCUGAGAACUAUGCAGUAAUGUUGCUUUUUCUCAGAUGUGGGGAUGCUGAUUUGUACGCUGACCUCCAGGCUGUAAAGAUACCUGAUAACGCAGCCAGGACUUGGCUCAGAAAGUGAUUCAGCAAUUUGCCUGAGACUGACCCAGUUUUAGCACAAAAAGUCCGGAGUCCUGAGAAAUGCCUCAGUCCCAGUCAAAUCAGAGCAACUGGUCGCCCAAGACAGCAAGUAAGAAGAUACUCGGGCACUCAGGCAAGCAGCAAAUCUCAGGCAAAUUCUGCAUCGUAAACCAAACAAUGGUCACAGUGUUUCUGUGCCAGAUCCUGGACCUCUGAGCAUAGGCUCCCUCGCCGCACCCAACCCCAGUUCCCUCCACAAGCACGGCUGAACCACAGUUGAUAUAAGUGGAUGGAACCGGUGGCCUUUCCGCUCUCCUUCUCACCUAACAGUUAAAACAGUCCUCAAAUUCUCUUACAGGGCCGAGUAAAUAUUUCAGAUGUUUACACAGCCAGGACUUUCUGAAUGAAGGGAAACAGCAAGGUCCAAACCACAGCCAUAAGGAUUCCUCAGGUUUACUCUGUUCAAAGGCCUGGGCUGUGACCUUCCUCCACCCGUUUCCUGGGGCUUCUUCAACAGCAGCAAGCAUGCCUUUGAUCGGAAUUUCAGUUCGGCUACCAGCUGGAUGCACAUUCCCAACGCCUCAGUGCUUUGCUUUCCAGCUGCCCAGAGUGAUCCCACUGCCCAGGGAAGGAAGCAAGGACAUCAGAGCAAAUCCUGGCCCCUUUCGCAGCAGAGAGAAUGCUUUUUGGAGUCUCAUACGGGAACCCUGAAAGAUCUCCCCAUACGGAGAUACAUCUACACAACACACACACACACACACACACACACACACACACACACUAAAAGUAAUUUAAGACUAGAAAGGUUUAAAGAGAAUUAGGAACUCUAAGAAAUUAUUUUAAGGAACUAUCAUUCAAAAAAAAUAAUAAGCAAGAGCAAAUUUUGGUAAUUAAGCAGUGGCUUAGAUCUGGAUCCUACUCUGUUUAUAUCGAUUUUUCCUUCUGAGUGUAGCCGGGGCGCAGGGGCGCAGACAGACCAGGCUGGGCCGGCUCCCCGCUGACAGAAUCCAAAGGCAGAGAGACGAGUGUGGUGAGACAAGAAAGGAACUUCUUUCAGGGGAGCUGACACGGGAAAACAGGGGCUAGUGUCUCAAAGACUUAACUGGAAGGGUCCAAAAUGCUUCCAGGUCUAUAUAAGGAGGGGGAUGGGGGGGUGGGGCAAAGGUGGGUGGGUCCGCACAGGUGGGCAGUGAAGGUCAGAUCCAUCAAGGCCUUAGACUCCAGCAUGGGCGGGGUCUUGCUGGCUCAGGGCAGCCCUUACCGCUGAGGGGGCAGUCUCCGUGCCCACCAGGCAAUGCUUUGCUCUUAGGGUCUUCCUCCUGAGCCAAGAGACAAGUUGGAAAGAAGAACCCAACUAGAAAGCUUGGGGUCGAAAUGGAGGCAACCCUCUUUCAUGAGUACUUGACUCCACACAUUUAACUUCAGUGCCCAUCUUUGAUCUCCGUUUCAUUCUGACUCUUUUCAGGUUUUGGGACCUCAGCUUGCUUAGACCCUCUCUGAUGUGGGAACUUCUGUUCCAACAAACUCCCCAUACUCCAUGCUUCCAUUUCUAACCUCAGAGACACACCCCCCGCACACCCAAGACCCAAGAGGCUCUGCCUCAGUCUCCCCAUCGCUCGGGGAGGGAGGAGUGGCUUAUAGACUGCCCAUUGCCCAUGACCCCUCUUCAUGCAAAGGGAAAACUGCCUCAUACCACGAAGAGAAGAGGCAGCAUUGCACUUAAAAGAAGCCAUAACCGCAGAGGAAUGAGGCAUGGAGGAGAAACUACUAGCACGUGUCUCUAUAGGACUGGGCAGGACAUUUCUCGAAGUUGCCCCAGGACACCACAUUUACUCUUCUGCUGCACUCUGUGCACCAACCCACUCCCUCUUCUGUUAGGAUAUCCCCCAAGUCACCAAAUCUACCACAGAAAACCCAUGACAAAUUAGUUCGAGUUGAAAGGAAAAUCUCCAACUUCUUUUCCUGGUACCCAGUUCAAGACAGCAACGGUUCUCUGCUGGGUGCAAGGGAGAGCAGGAAACUGCUGUUCCGGACAGAGACUAGUGAACGGGGAAACUGUUUUUCAAAAUGGCGAGCCACUCGUGGAAGUUUUUGGUAUCAUUUCCUCCAAAGACUGGCAAUUGUUUCAGAAGAAAACGUCAGAAAUAGUACUAACCCCAAACCUGGUAACAAGAAAUUCUUGAUCAUUAUCCAUGAAUGAGGAUCAUCAUCCCUUGGAUAAUGAAAUUGAAUACUUUUGUUAGAAUGGGGAUUUUUCCCCUUUUUUAUAAAAAAGACUAAUUAUACUUUAGUCUAGAAUGAUUCUCUCCUUACCGUGCUGUUCUCUUCUUAGAGCAAAACGCAUGAGUGUGCUGUUACGGGAGGAGAACUUUGACCUGGGAAGGGUAUUUAGGCAUUCUCCCAGACAAGCUGUUGACUUCCACAAAAAAUUGGCAAAGGACAGAGCCAUCUGGGAUAAAACAUUAUGCACAUUGUUGGUGGCUUACUCUUAGGAGUGCAUUUCAGUUUCAGACCACAAAAACCACGACAUUAAGCAGCUAAUAGAGGCUAUUUUGUAUUACAUCACAGAUGGAGAAGGAUCCCAGGAUGGGUCCCUUCAUUUCAUCUAUUUCAAAAAUCUGAAACAUUAUUUUUCAGAUGAGCCUUUGGUGCAACUAUCCACUUCCCCAGUUUAGAGUUUCCUAUACAGAGCAUCUUCUGUCCCUACAUCCCGGGGUACCCCGGGCAGUGGAGACCGUCAGCAGACUUAACAAGGGGUUAUCUAGGUUCUGGUGAUGACGUCACCACAACUUACUAUGGGAGGUUCUACAAGACACUUAAUAUUCCCAGAUCCAUUAGUUAAGAUAAGACUAGCUGUAGAACAAACACCAAAAUUUCACUGUUAAUAAAAUAUUGCUACUUGCUCGUCACAGUUCGGUAUCGGCAUUCCUCGGGAGCAGGCAGCCUUCCCUCCCACGGUGAUUCAGAGAUCCCAACUCUUCCAGCUUUCAAAUCCUUCCAUCCAUGAGGGCAUCAAAGUCCUCUGCUUCUUGCUCUUGGAAAGGGAAAGAGAAUAUGGGAAAAUCCCACCCGCUCUGUCAGAGUCUGGCGGGAAAGGGACGCAUCCUCACUUCUGCUCUAAUCCAAUGUCGAGAACAAGACAGAUGGCCGUGGAGCCGGCAAGGACAGGAACCAGAGACUGAGAAGCACGGUCCAGCCUGGGACAGCAGGAAUUUGGGGGCGCACAGCUAUAAAAUUUUGCCACACUAAACCUCGACUUCUUUAUCUGUGAAAUGGUAAUAACGGUUUUUGCCCUGCCACCCCACAUAGAGACAUUGCGGGAAAAGCAGUAAUAAACGUUAAUGUGUUUUGGAAGUGGUUCCAGAGGAUCACAGCCCCACAAGAGAGUAUUGUCCCUUCUAGCUGUGAACUUGUUUGUGCCUUUCAGCAUUGCAAGAUUCGAGUCCACGUUCAACUGCUAGACUUAGUUGUCAAAGCCCACGAUUUUGUCCCCAUAUUUAUUGCCCUUCCCUUCUGGGAGCUUUUGACCAAGUCCAUCCCCGACUCCACGAGACCACACACUUUCUUGGCAUCCGCAUUGUGGCCUUCUCCUGGUCUCCCCACUUCCUCACCGCCCCUUCUCAAUCCACUCUCAACCUUCUCGCAGAUGUUUCUUAGGACCCUGCCAUGGACCCUAUCUCUCACCACACUCAUGGUGGCAUGCCGAGGACCCUAAAAGUGUACUUUGUCACCAAGCUGCUCUUCUGGGCUUCACACUCCCACAGACCACAGGGCCCUUGAUACCUCCAUCUGAGUGCUUCUCGGGCAGCUCAGACGUCACAUGGACAAAACAGAGCUCCUGACUUUCCCUCCCCAAACCAUCCCUCUGCAAAUCUUCCCACAUAUAAUCCUCCAUCUUCACAAAUGACAUCCAGUACUCAAAUUCAAAAACUCAGAAUCGUGUUUUACUCCUUCCUUUCUCUCACUUCCUGUUGGUAAAUCCUACUGGCUUUACCACACCCUCCCCCAAAAUGAAAUGCCGUCUGUCUGUCCACUUCUAUCUAGCUGCUGUCUCCCUAAUACUAGCCACUGUCUUAUCCCACCCAGAUUGCUACAGAAGUUUCUGAAGUAAUUACUGAAGUUUAAGUCAUAUACCUUACAACCCAUUCUCCCCUGAGCAGCAAGAGUCAUCUUUUUAAAACAUACAGACUCCAGAGAGCAGAGGCAUGAGGUGGAGAGCAGGACCGGGGUGGCCUGUGUCGUUUGAGGUUUUGACUCUGGCCAUGCCCGAUAUGUAAUCGCUCCCUGGACUUCCUGCUCAUGCAGCCAAACUUCCCUUCUGCUUUUGCUGGUUUGAGUUCGUGUUAGAUUACGCUCUUCCCCAGGAUGUCCUCCCCUCCCCUCUUUUCCCAAGACGAGUUCCUGUCCCCACUAUGUCUCAGUUUAAAGGUCACCUGCUCUGAGACACCUUUCCUGAACAUUCUGCUUAAAGAUCUCUCCUCUCUGGGGCGCCUGGGUGGGUCAGUGGGUUAAGCCUCUGCCUUCAGCUCAGGUCAUGAUCUCAGAGUCCUGGGAUGGAGCCCCACAUCCAGCUAUCUGCUCAGUGGGGAGCCUGCCUACCCCUCCCUCUCUGCCUGCCUCUCUGCCUA
This is a long non-coding RNA of Mustela lutreola (European mink), 4964 nucleotides long. RefSeq lists it as uncharacterized. The transcript is spliced from 5 exons. NCBI's taxonomy places the organism in Eukaryota, Metazoa, Chordata, Mammalia, Carnivora, Mustelidae. The record is from RefSeq and is a predicted model, not a curated record.